Magnolia sinica is the source of this 865-nucleotide long non-coding RNA. RefSeq lists it as uncharacterized. The transcript has 3 exons. The record is from RefSeq and is a predicted model, not a curated record. NCBI's taxonomy places the organism in Eukaryota, Viridiplantae, Streptophyta, Magnoliopsida, Magnoliales, Magnoliaceae.
CCCUCCCUCUCCCUCCCUCCCUCUCACUCUCCCUCCCUCUCUCGAUCUCCCUCUCGUUCUGUUUAACAGGUCUGGCGGCAUGACUUUCCCAACUUCGAGAAAUAUUCCACAAGAUCAGUGAGUGCUGGUGCAGACGAUGCAGCCUUCGUCGUCAUGUCACCAGAGAGCUUCAAAAGUGCGUCGUGAAAUGGCUGUGGCAUAGAUCCCAAAGCUUCAUCCACACCAGCACUGACGCGAGGAGGCAGUUGAAUCCCAACACUUGGAGACCUUGUGGGAGUUGAACUCUCUGCAAGUGAUUUGGUGCCAGGUGUCCUAAAUUUAUUAGUGCUCAACAGCACAUUUAUCCUCAACGGAUUCAAGAGCUGAGUUACAACAGCAUCACACAGAUCAUCAUCAUCCACAAGUGUUACAGCAUCACCAUCUUCAUCAACAUAUGUAAGGGUGAAAUCGGCAUCUGGGUUGAGUUUGAAAAGGAAUAUUACCCUGUACAAAUUUGAUACCUGGUCUGUUUUUCAUCACCGUAUCCCCCGGUGGCUGGUGAGUCUUAUCAGUAAACACCUUAACAAGUGCUGGGAUUCAGUGUCUAGGCCAAAAUGGGUAUGACGGACGAGUUCGAAGCUUCUUUGCAAGUACUACGGGGAUUUGAUACUGAUAUUUCUUUUGAAGUGAAUGAAAUCAAGAUUUCAUGUGUAUACAAAUCCAACCCGUUCAAAGCUGAUUGAGACUAUGGUAAUCAUACUCCAAAACUUCUAUAUUCAUAUACUCAUCAGGUGGGCCAUGCAUAUACUUUAUACCAUACUGACGUUUUUCCAUUUUUCCUAUGAUUUAGACUGUUUGAUGAGUGGAUCAAUUCAACUCUUUCUAU